Molecule: long non-coding RNA, 512 nt
Organism: Prunus dulcis (almond)
Lineage: Eukaryota; Viridiplantae; Streptophyta; Magnoliopsida; Rosales; Rosaceae
Exons: 3
Source: RefSeq, a predicted model, not a curated record
UUAUAGGAUUUAUUCUUUAUUCAGAGCACAAUGUAAUAUUAGUUCAAGAUUCCAGCCAGGCAUUACGCAAACUGGUGUUAUAGCUUACAAGUAAAACUAGUCGUGUAUUGAGCUUGAGAUUUGAGUUUGCGUGUAGAUGGAUGCUACUUUUGAGCAUUUAAUUGACCAAUGGUUUUUUAUUUUGCAGAAAAGAGGUGCAAAUAUCUAUGCAGAAUUCCUUGGUGGAAGCUUCACAGGUGAUGCUUAGCCACACCUUGUAUGGUGCUGGUGUUCUUCUCCGCAUAGAAAAGGCAUUAGCUCAGUCUGGGGUGUCUAGGGAAGAUGUUAAUUACAUCCACACCAGUCGGAGACCUCAAAGAGUAUAAUGCUCUUGUUCAUUGUUUGGCAAGAAUCCUGAGUUGAGAGUAAACUCUACAGAAUCCAUGAUUGGCGACCUACUAGGAGCAGCUGGUGCUGUAGAACCUGUUGCAGCAGUAAAGGUAACUUAUUUGAUGUUUUCACCUUGGAAGUAC